Talpa occidentalis (Iberian mole) is the source of this 164-nucleotide small nuclear RNA. RefSeq annotates it as U1 spliceosomal RNA. Lineage: Eukaryota; Metazoa; Chordata; Mammalia; Eulipotyphla; Talpidae. The record is from RefSeq and is a predicted model, not a curated record. The transcript has a single exon.
AUAUUUACCUGGCAGGGGAGAUGCCAUUGUCACCCAAGUGGUUUUCCCAGGGUGAGGCUUCACCAUUGUACCCCAAAUACACAGACCCCUGCAAUUUCCCAAAAUAUGAGACAAUCUAAUGCACAAUUUGUGAUAGUGGGGGGCAGCAUUGGCUCAUUCUCCUA